AUACAAAAUGUGCAGUGUUGGGGGGUGCCCUGGACCAGGGUUGAGAAACACUGUUUUAUACAAAGCCACUUACGAAAGGGGAACAACGAAAUUCAUCAAAAGACAGACAUGAAUGAUCCUAUGAUUAUUGUUCAACAUGUAUAAUGUGACAGUCCUUUAAUUCUAAUUUCUGACUGAGUGACCUGCAUUUGAAGCCUUGCGACAUGAAAGCAGCAGUCCUUCAGUCCAUCAGUCUGGUGUUACUACGCUUUAAAUCAUCAGUUUCUCUCAUUGCAGAUCUUCCUCUCAGCCCAAGCUUUUAAAGCAAAGAGAAAGAACAAAUAACCAUCAUGAUGUGACAUCCAUGAUGUUUUCAGUCCUCGGCAAAGCCAUUUACUCUCCAUCAACAAAUACUUCUGCACUUCUUCCUCUUAAGGUGCCAAACUGUGGCUUUCUGCUCCCUUUCCAUUUCCGUCGUGCUUGUUGAAUGUUGUUCUUCGGCGGGGACAGAACCUGGAUCCCCCCCGCUGCUGGUAAUAGACGGCAGGGAUGCGUUCAGUCUUUCAGCCGGACCAGAAUCCCCUGCUUCAGCUGCUCAAUUACACCGCAGGCGUCUCCAUCCGCUCCUCCAAUUACACCACCGGCCCCCUUUAUUUACAAGCACGUGCAUACGUGAAGACAAAUUGCCUGGAGAUCACUCGGGCCUGCUGCAAUUUGGCCGUUUCUUCUGCUGAGAUGAAGCCACUGUUGAAUUAGUCGCUCAGGCUGAAGGAGCGUCACAUACUGCGCUUAGGCUUUCUGCUCCACUAUACAAUGUGAACGCUGAGUAUAUGUUAUGUACGUAUGCAAUACAUGCAACUUCCAAAAGACAAAAAAGAGCAUCCAUUGCUGACACACUGAUGCAGUGCUGCAUUUCUACAAACCUGAUGAAGAAACAAACUCAUAUGUAUACUCAUCUGAUGGCCUGAGGGUGAAUUUAAUUUUUUGGGUGAACUAUUCUUUUAAAAUUAUUGACCUCUUGCAUAUUCUGCAGGGGGUGUAAACUUAUGAGCAGAGCUGUAAAUGAUAGACUAUCAGGAUUUGAAACUAUAAAAUGAUAGAUUAUCCUGACUCACAGUUUUAAGAAAAAACCUGAUGCAUGACUGACAGAGAAUGCAUUCUUUCCCAGAAUGCAAUGUGCUUGACUUGAUCUCUGAAUCAGCAUUAGUAUGUUGGUCUGCUGUGGUGUUUGUUUCAGCUCAUGUGCUUGCCACAGACAGGAAGUGGAGUCAGCAGCUUCCUGUGUCUCAUGUUCUCAGAUCUUCUACCUGUCAGUCGAGGUAUGAAAGCAUGGCGAGCCAUCCAGGUGAAUUAAUGAUCCGUGACCUUCCCUCAAUUACGUCUCAUUACACCGCAGUCCCGAGGGAUUCUGGGACACAAUGGGAAGACAUGAGAAUUAAGAGUCGUCUCUGAAAGCCAAUCCUGCAGUCCGUCACUCAAAGAGCUGCUCUGUUCAGACAAAACCCUUCGUUUCGCUUCAUUUCUGAUUAUUGCUCUGUGUUCAGGGCACAUACUCACCGGAGUAAACAGUAAAACACAAGUGUUACUACAGUUCUCUCUGUAAAAAUCACAAUAAAUCAAUAAAGUUAGACACUUAAGUUAUGCUAAAGUAAAGCAUUAUCAGUAACUAAAAUUAAAACUAUUUAAAAAAAAACUAUUUAAAAAGUGAUAAAUAAAAAUAAAAUAUAUAUGAAAUAAAAAAGAUAAAUUAUAAAUAAUAUAAUAUAUAUAUGUGUGUGUG
Molecule: long non-coding RNA, 1759 nt
Organism: Cyprinus carpio carpio
Lineage: Eukaryota; Metazoa; Chordata; Actinopteri; Cypriniformes; Cyprinidae
Source: Ensembl